UACGUAGGGUGCAAGCGUUGUCCGGAAUUAUUGGGCGUAAAGAGCUCGUAGGCGGCUUGUCACGUCGACUGUGAAAACCCGGGGCUCAACUCCGGGCCUGCAGUCGAUACGGGCUGGCUUGAGUGCGGUAGGGGAGACUGGAAUUCCUGGUGUAGCGGUGAAAUGCGUAGAUAUCGGGAGGAACACCAGUGGCGAAGGCGACUACCUGGCCUGUUCUUGACGCUGAGGCGCGAAAGCUAGGGGAGCAAACGGG
RNAcentral lists this ribosomal RNA (253 nucleotides) under uncultured bacterium. RNAcentral's name for it is "partial 16S ribosomal RNA". It matches the Rfam family "Bacterial small subunit ribosomal RNA", at positions 524 to 776 of the family's 1533-position model. The record is from RNAcentral.